UGCGUAGGUGGGGUGGUAAGUCAGUGGUGAGAUCUCCAGGCUUAACUUGGAAACUGCCAUUGAUACUAUCAUUCUUGAAUACCGUGGAGAUGAGCGGAAUAUGUCAUGUAGCGGUGAAAUGCUUAGAUAUGACAUAGAACACCAAUUGCGAAGGCAGCUCGUUACACGAAUAUUGACACUCAGGCACGAAAGCGUGGGGAUCAAACAGGAUUAGAUACCCUGGUAGUCCACGCCCUAAACGAUGGAUACUCGACAUUUGCGAUAAACUGCAAGUGUCUGAGCGAAAGCAUUAAGUAUCCCACCUGGGAAGUACGAUCGCAAGAUUGAA
This 328-nucleotide ribosomal RNA is filed under the name uncultured Terrimonas sp. Its description in RNAcentral is "bacterial SSU rRNA". It matches the Rfam family "Bacterial small subunit ribosomal RNA", at positions 568 to 898 of the family's 1533-position model. The record is from RNAcentral. Lineage: Bacteria; Pseudomonadati; Bacteroidota; Chitinophagia; Chitinophagales; Chitinophagaceae.